Molecule: ribosomal RNA, 712 nt
Filed under: uncultured Actinomycetes bacterium
Lineage: Bacteria; Bacillati; Actinomycetota; Actinomycetes
Description: bacterial SSU rRNA
Rfam family: Bacterial small subunit ribosomal RNA
Source: RNAcentral
AGGAGUUUUGAUCCUGGCUCAGGACGAACGCUGGCGGCGUGCUUAACACAUGCAAGUCGGACGAUGAUCCUCAGCUUGCUGGGGUGAUUAGUGGCGAACGGGUGAGUAACACGUGAGUAACCUGCCCUCCACUCUGGGAUAACUCCGGGAAACCGGUGCUAAUACUGGAUAUGACUCGAACAGGCAUCUGUAUCGGGUGGAAAGAUUUAUUGGUGGGGGAUGGACUCGCGGCCUAUCAGCUUGUUGGUGAGGUAAUGGCUUACCAAGGCGACGACGGGUAGCCGGCCUGAGAGGGCGAUCGGCCACACUGGGACUGAGACACGGCCCAGACUCCUACGGGAGGCAGCAGUGGGGAAUAUUGCACAAUGGGCGAAAGCCUGAUGCAGCGACGCCGCGUGAGGGAUGAAGGCCUUCGGGUUGUAAACCUCUUUCAGCAGGGAAGAAGCGCCUGGGUUUUCUCAGGCGUGACGGUACCUGCAGAAGAAGCACCGGCUAACUACGUGCCAGCAGCCGCGGUAAUACGUAGGGUGCGAGCGUUGUCCGGAAUUAUUGGGCGUAAAGAGCUUGUAGGCGGUUUGUCGCGUCUGCUGUGAAAUUUCGGGGCUCAACCCCGAACUUGCAGUGGGUACGGGCAGACUAGAGUGUGGUAGGGGAGACUGGAAUUCCUGGUGUAGCGGUGAAAUGCGCAGAUAUCAGGAGGAACACCGAUGGC